RNAcentral lists this transfer RNA (74 nucleotides) under Streptococcus oralis. RNAcentral describes it as "tRNA-Met". It matches the Rfam family "tRNA". From Rfam's summary of the family: Transfer RNA (tRNA) molecules are approximately 80 nucleotides in length. Their secondary structure includes four short double-helical elements and three loops (D, anti-codon, and T loops). RNAcentral also lists the same sequence under 14 other names. Lineage: Bacteria; Bacillati; Bacillota; Bacilli; Lactobacillales; Streptococcaceae. The record is from RNAcentral.
CGCGGGAUGGAGCAGUUCGGUAGCUCGUCGGGCUCAUAACCCGAAGGUCGUAGGUUCAAAUCCUGCUCCCGCAA